RNAcentral lists this non-coding RNA (201 nucleotides) under Ligilactobacillus aviarius. Its description in RNAcentral is "Lactobacillus aviarius T-box sequence". It matches the Rfam family "T-box leader". From Rfam's summary of the family: Uncharged tRNA acts as the effector for transcription antitermination of genes in the T-box leader family. T-boxes are found upstream of many aminoacyl-tRNA synthetase genes and some amino acid biosynthetic genes usually in Gram-positive bacteria. Lineage: Bacteria; Bacillati; Bacillota; Bacilli; Lactobacillales; Lactobacillaceae. The record is from RNAcentral.
CAUUUAACGCAGAUAAGGAAUAGUAGAUGAUGGCCAGGUUUUCAGAGAGAACAUGGCGGUGUGAAUGUUUAGCUAGGCAUUAUCGAACUCGCCUUUGAGUCUUUGACUGAAUCAAGUAGGUUGAAGCGGUGGUAAGCCGUUAUCUUAUUGAGAGCCGAUUAAAUCGGAAGAUAGGUGGUACCGCGAUCAUUCGUCCUAUCC